CCUUUUAUUUUAACUUUUUCAUUUUUUAUGUAUUUUUUGAAUUUUAUAAUUUUUAACUUUAGUUACGUAAAAUAGAGAUAAUUUCGUACAGCUUUCUAUAAAUAUAACAAAUAAUAAUAAAUAUUAUAUCUCUACAAAAUUCAAAUUAUCUGAUUUAUUCUCAAAAAGUACUAAUGGUUUCAAAUAUAUACUUUUGCUGUUAGUAUCUGUUAUAGGUAAAUUGACCUUUUACUCCUUUUAUAUUAUAAUCUCAUAACUACCUGAUGGGCCCUAGCCCUAGUCGAAGAGAAACAAACGUGCUUGGAGGAGAGCAUUCAUGUCCUCUCGCGAAGCCGGCGAAGCGAUCGAAGCCCCCCGAUGGCGGCACCCUGAGAAGUCCUUCUGCGAACCCUCCCACGAAAAUAGAGGAAAAUGAGUGAAAAAAUAAAGUGUUUGAUACAUAAAGGAGAAAAGGAGUGUGAGAAGAGAGAGAGAAGAGGUUAUAACAAUAGUAGAUUAGAUUAGUUUUUAUAAAAAAGAAUGAGUUGAUAACAAACCGCAGUAGCAAAUAUGAACGUUACUAGAUUUUAACUGAAUAAAAAUGAUAAAUUGAACUUUGUAGGGAUAUAUCUGAUAUUUGGAGUUGUAUGAAACUAUCCCUAAUAAAAUAUGCCUAGUUACCUAUUU
RNAcentral lists this long non-coding RNA (666 nucleotides) under Ananas comosus (pineapple). RNAcentral's name for it is "long non-coding RNA (ACOM_LNC003913)". Lineage: Eukaryota; Viridiplantae; Streptophyta; Magnoliopsida; Poales; Bromeliaceae. The record is from RNAcentral.